This 320-nucleotide long non-coding RNA is filed under the name Helianthus annuus (common sunflower). RNAcentral describes it as "sRNA HanXRQr2_Chr02g0052651". The record is from RNAcentral. Lineage: Eukaryota; Viridiplantae; Streptophyta; Magnoliopsida; Asterales; Asteraceae.
UUUAUAUUAUUUUUCAUAUCACGUUAUCAGCACGAGGCUCUAACAAACUGAGAUUUAUCGGAAAUCUGAGAUCAAUCACAAGAAUUUGUAGCCGUUUUCCCGUCGCCGGCCAACAACACAUAUUCAUCACUCUGUUUCUGUUUUGUGAUUCCGAACAUCUUCGGCUCAUACAUCCAGGGUUUUCUUUUAUUGCUCCUGUUUCCCUCUUUCUUUGUUGGAACAUGACAAAAUGUCGAACUUAUCAAAACUCGAAUUCGUCGCCCUUGACAUCUCGGGAAAUAACUACCUCCCAUGGACUCUUGAUGCGAAAAUUCAUCUGA